Molecule: ribosomal RNA, 909 nt
Filed under: uncultured Bacteroidota bacterium
Lineage: Bacteria; Pseudomonadati; Bacteroidota
Description: bacterial SSU rRNA
Rfam family: Bacterial small subunit ribosomal RNA
Source: RNAcentral
GGUCCAGACUUUGAUUAUGGCUCACGUUGAACGCUAGCUACAGGCCUAACACAUGCAAGUCGAGGGGAAACGGCAGCUUAGCUUGCUACGCUGGACGUCGACCGGCGCACGGGUGAGUAACGCGUAUCCAACCUGCCCCACGGUGAGGGAUAACCCGCGGAAACGCGGCCUAAUACCUCAUGGUCUCCGAGCUUGACAUCAACCUUGGAGUAAAGAUUCAUUGCCGUGGGAUGGGGAUGCGUCUGAUUAGCUUGUUGGCGGGGCGACGGCCCACCAAGGCAACGAUCAGUAGGGGUUCUGAGAGGAAAGCCCCCCACAUUGGAACUGAGACACGGUCCAAACUCCUACGGGAGGCAGCAGUGAGGAAUAUUGGUCAAUGGGCGAGAGCCUGAACCAGCCAAGUAGCGUGCAGGAAGACGGCCCUAUGGGUUGUAAACUGCUUUUAUGCGGGGAUAAAGCGGGCGACGUGUCGCCCUUUGCAGGUACCGCAUGAAUAGGGACCGGCUAAUUCCGUGCCAGCAGCCGCGGUAAUACGGAAGGUCCGGGCGUUAUCCGGAUUUAUUGGGUUUAAAGGGAGCGCAGGCCGGGUAUUAAGCGUGUUGUGAAAUGUAGGCGCCCAACGUCUGCACCGCAGCGCGAACUGGUGCCCUUGAGUACGCACGACGUUGGCGGAAGUCGCCGUGUAGCGGUGAAAUGCUUAGAUAUGGCGAAGAACUCCGAUUGUGAAGGCAGCUGACGGGAGCGCUACUGACGCUCAUGCUCGAAAGCGCGGGUAUCGAACAGGAUUAGAUACCCUGGUAGUCCGCGCGGUAAACGAUGGAUGCCCGCUAUUUGCGCAUUAGCGCAAGUGGCCAAGUGAAAACGUUAAGGAUCCCACCUGGGGAGUACGCCGGCAACGGUGCCUUUAAA